Molecule: ribosomal RNA, 800 nt
Filed under: bacterium CanalPD27D
Lineage: Bacteria
Description: bacterial SSU rRNA
Rfam family: Bacterial small subunit ribosomal RNA
Source: RNAcentral
AGUAGAGCGGCGCACGGGUGAGUAACGCGUAGGUGAUCUACCCUUUGGAUCGGGAUAACAGUUGGAAACGGCUGCUAAUACCGGAUAUACUCCAUAUUUAGCUUUAUGGGGGAAAGGUGGCCUCUGCAUGCAAGCUACCACCAAAGGAUGAACCUGCGUCUCAUUAGCUUGUUGGUGGGGUAAUGGCCUACCAAGGCGACGAUGAGUAGCUGGUCUGAGAGGAUGAUCAGCCACACUGGGACUGGAACACGGCCCAGACUCCUACGGGAGGCAGCAGUGGGGAAUAUUGCGCAAUGGGCGAAAGCCUGACGCAGCGACGCCGCGUGAGGGAAGAAGGCUCUCGGGUCGUAAACCUCUGUCAGAAGGGAAGAAACCCUUGAGGUCGAAUAGGCUUCUUGGCUGACGGUACCUUCAGAGGAAGCACCGGCUAAUUCCGUGCCAGCAGCCGCGGUAAUACGGAAGGUGCAAGCGUUAAUCGGAAUCACUGGGCGUAAAGCGCGCGUAGGCGGCGCGGUCAGUCAGAUGUGAAAGCCCUCGGCUCAACCGGGGAAUUGCAUUUGAAACUGCCGUGCUUGAGUACUGGAGAGGCAGGCGGAAUUCCAGGUGUAGGAGUGAAAUCCGUAGAUAUCUGGAGGAACACCAGUGGCGAAGGCGGCCUGCUGGACAGAUACUGACGCUGAGGUGCGAAAGCGUGGGUAGCAAACAGGAUUAGAUACCCUGGUAGUCCACGCUGUAAACGAUGGAUGCUAGGUGUCGGGGGGUCCACCCUCGGUGCCGCAGUUAACGCGUUAAGCAUCCCG